GAUGAACGCUGGCGGUAUGCCUAACACAUGCAAGUCGUACGAGAGUUUUUAACUCUAGUGGCGGACGGGUGAGUAACACGUGAGAAUUUACCUUUAGGAGGGGGAUAACAAUUGGAAACGAAUGCUAAUACCCCAUAUGCUUUUGAGUGAAAUGGAUUUAUAAUUGUCUGCCUAAAGAAAAGCUCGCGGCUGAUUAGCUUGUUGGUAAGGUAAGAGCUUACCAAGGCGACGAUCAGUAUCUGGUUUGAGAGGACGAUCAGACACACUGGAACUGAGACACGGUCCAGACUCCUACGGGAGGCAGCAGUGGGGAAUUUUCCGNAAUGGGCGAAAGCCUGACGGAGCAAUACCGCGUGAGGGAAGAAUGCCUAGUGGGUUAGUAAAGCUACUUUCAGCGAGGAGGAAAGGUUGAUGCCUAAUACGCAUCAGCUGUGACGUUACUCGCAGAAGAAGCACCGGCUAACUCCGUGCCAGCA
RNAcentral lists this ribosomal RNA (476 nucleotides) under uncultured bacterium. Its description in RNAcentral is "bacterial SSU rRNA". It matches the Rfam family "Bacterial small subunit ribosomal RNA", at positions 28 to 513 of the family's 1533-position model. The record is from RNAcentral.